This 551-nucleotide long non-coding RNA is filed under the name Rhinopithecus roxellana (golden snub-nosed monkey). RNAcentral describes it as "lncRNA (ENSRROG00000045895.1)". Lineage: Eukaryota; Metazoa; Chordata; Mammalia; Primates; Cercopithecidae. The record is from RNAcentral.
CGGGCGCCUGCGCAUGAGCUUCCCAGGCGCGCGGGCUGCGGGGUUAUUAGAGGUGGAGCGCAAGGAGGGCGCGCGGCAGGAGGCGGCCGCCGUUACGGCGCGAGCGUGGUCACGUGGCCGCUGGUCAUUGCCGCCACCCCCUCCCGCCCCGUUCUCUUUCAGGUCGGGCCGGGCCCGGCCGCUUCCGCGAGCGCCUGGCAGACUGAGGGAGAGAGAGAGAGAAAGAGGAGGGGAGGAGGAGGAGGAUUCAGGGAAUAGGAGCUGGGGAGCCCUUCUGCGCCACAGGGAGAUGCUGUUUUUCCAGCAGUUAAAAGAGAACUUAGCUUGUCUCUGUUUCUUGAUUCCUCUUCAAUUUCUGUUUGCAAACCAAGACUUGUGUUUGGAGAACUUUGUUGUACUGAGCCUAAGUCAUUUUUGAUCUAUAACGAGAACAUGCAUUUUCACAUGUCAACCGGAUUUGUGGACCAGUAAAGUUCUCCCCAAAGGUAAGCAUAUAUGUUUUCAAAAUAUACAUUUUAAAAUAGAAUACUCUCAAUGCCUUUACCAUAGUA